UUGAAUAAACUUGAACAGGCUGUUGCUGGUCCUCUCUGGGGCAUGUGCACGCUUGCUCAUCUCUAUUCCUCCCAAACUUGUGCACCUCAUUGUAGACCCUGGAGGCAGAGGACUGCUUUUUCAGGUCUAUGUUCUUAUAAAUCUCAGAAUGUAUGAAAGACAAAAGUGUUAUAAUACAAAUAUAUAUA
Molecule: unclassified non-coding RNA, 188 nt
Filed under: uncultured Inocybaceae
Lineage: Eukaryota; Fungi; Basidiomycota; Agaricomycetes; Agaricales
Description: sequence contains ITS1
Source: RNAcentral